CCUUGAGUUUGAUAUGGCUCAGGACGAACGCUGGCGGCGUGCCUAACACAUGCAAGUCGAGCGAUGAAGCCCUUCGGGGCUGAUUAGCGGCGGACGGGUGAGUAACACGUGGGUAACCUGCCUCAUAGAGGGGGAUAGCCUCCCGAAAGGGAGAUUAAUACCGCAUAACAUAUUUUGGUUGCAUGACUGAAAUAUCAAAGGAGUAAUCCGCUAUGAGAUGGACCCGCGGCGCAUUAGCUAGUUGGUGAGGUAAGGGCUCACCAAGGCGACGAUGCGUAGCCGACCUGAGAGGGUGAUCGGCCACAUUGGAACUGAGACACGGUCCAGACUCCUACGGGAGGCAGCAGUGGGGAAUAUUGCGCAAUGGAGGAAACUCUGACGCAGCAACGUCUUUUUUUAUGAUGAAGGCCUUAGGGUUGUAAAGUUCUGUCUUCUGGGACGAUAAUGACGGUACCAGAGGAGGAAGCCACGGCUAACUACGUGCCAGCAGCCGCGGUAA
Molecule: ribosomal RNA, 499 nt
Filed under: uncultured Clostridium sp.
Lineage: Bacteria; Bacillati; Bacillota; Clostridia; Eubacteriales; Clostridiaceae
Description: bacterial SSU rRNA
Rfam family: Bacterial small subunit ribosomal RNA
Source: RNAcentral